GGGGAGAUUGGUCGUUAGGGUGGGGCCACCUACUGAUAGUGAAGAUCCCAGGGUCUUCUUGAUGUAUGAUCGAUGGUUCCGACUACCAGGGUCGGUCCUUGUGUGCCUCAUGAUCUGUAGUUGAUGGUUCCGACCAUUAGGGAAACGUGGAAGGUGUUUGGGUUUAUAGCUGCAUCCUUCAGUGGGGAUUGCCUACGUACCUUUCAGUGAGGGAUCAAGCCGUUCGUAGUUCAUGUAUAUGGAGGC
RNAcentral lists this long non-coding RNA (246 nucleotides) under Brassica napus (rape). Its description in RNAcentral is "long non-coding RNA (BNAP_LNC013980)". The record is from RNAcentral. Lineage: Eukaryota; Viridiplantae; Streptophyta; Magnoliopsida; Brassicales; Brassicaceae.